GGAGAUAUGACAGAGAGGUAAUGUAGCGGUUUGCUAAACCGUCGUCGAGGUAACACUCGCCUGGGUUCGAUUCCCAGUAUCUCCG
This 85-nucleotide transfer RNA is filed under the name Candidatus Izimoplasma sp. HR2. RNAcentral describes it as "Candidatus Izimaplasma sp. HR2 tRNA". It matches the Rfam family "tRNA". From Rfam's summary of the family: Transfer RNA (tRNA) molecules are approximately 80 nucleotides in length. Their secondary structure includes four short double-helical elements and three loops (D, anti-codon, and T loops). Further hydrogen bonds mediate the characteristic L-shaped molecular structure. tRNAs have two regions of fundamental functional importance: the anti-codon, which is responsible for specific mRNA codon recognition, and the 3' end, to which the tRNAs corresponding amino acid is attached (by aminoacyl-tRNA synthetases). tRNAs cope with the degeneracy of the genetic code in two manners: having more than one tRNA (with a specific anti-codon) for a particular amino acid; and 'wobble' base-pairing, i.e. permitting non-standard base-pairing at the 3rd anti-codon position. The record is from Rfam by way of RNAcentral. Lineage: Bacteria; Bacillati; Mycoplasmatota; Mollicutes; Candidatus Izemoplasmatales; Candidatus Izemoplasmataceae.